Molecule: ribosomal RNA, 253 nt
Filed under: uncultured bacterium
Lineage: Bacteria
Description: partial 16S ribosomal RNA
Rfam family: Bacterial small subunit ribosomal RNA
Source: RNAcentral
UACGUAGGGGGCAAGCGUUGUCCUGAAUCAUUGGGCGUAAAGAGCGUGUAGGCGGCCCGGUAAGUCCGCUGUGAAAGUCGGGGGCUCAACCCUCGAAUGCCGGUGGAUACUGUCGGGCUAGAGUGCGGAAGAGGCGAGUGGAAUUCCUGGUGUAGCGGUGAAAUGCGCAGAUAUCAGGAGGAACACCAAUUGCGAAGGCAGCUCGCUGGGACGUAACUGACGCUGAGACGCGAAAGCGUGGGGAGCAAACAGG